Nothobranchius furzeri (turquoise killifish) is the source of this 6218-nucleotide long non-coding RNA. RefSeq lists it as uncharacterized. Lineage: Eukaryota; Metazoa; Chordata; Actinopteri; Cyprinodontiformes; Nothobranchiidae. The record is from RefSeq and is a predicted model, not a curated record.
AUACAGUUUUCCUGACAGCAUUCAUACUAAGAAGCUCCUCUGCUUCAGCAAAUCUAAAUAAGCACCCUUUGGUCCAUUUAAUUGAUCCAAUUAGCUUCAUCUCAGGUGCACUGAUUACAUCUAUAGAGUGAAUGUCAUUCAGAGGUAAGGCUAACAUCCACGGCUGCUGCCUCCGGUUAAACUAUUUGGCCGUCUUACCAGUGACACUAAAAGUGUGUUUAGGUGAAUAAGAUGCACAUUUUAGAAUGCUUUAAUGAAUGCAGUGCACUCUUUGGGACACAUUUUGUGCUUGCAAGCACCUAAGUGAAUAAUCAUGAAGAAGCAUUUACUGAAUUUAAUUUCUCAAAACCCAGAUGAAGUCAAUAAAUGCUGCAAUUGAAUAACAAUAUUAUAUAUUACUUGCAGCAGCUGCUGAAUUAUUCAAGUAAACGUGUUAGUUUAUUUAGCUGGAUGUAUUUUCUGAAUCUCUGAACAUCCAGCUGCUCAUGUAUGAAGCAUGUGUGUCAAUCAUCCGCUGCCACUGGGUAUUUUUGUGUUUUGUUGGUCUUUCUUCUGCUAGACCAAGCACGGGUACGGAGAAGAUGGAGUUAAACACCUUUUAAGUUGACAGAACGUGGAGACAAAUGAUCAGAAGUCCAUUCACUGUUUCACCGCUCAUGAGGGGGAGAGUCUCUGCAGCAAGUCCCGCGACCUGCUCUUGCCAGAUGCUUCGGACAGACUCUCGCCGUUCUGCUGAAAACGGCUGAUUUUUAUUGAAGAUUACAGGAAUGUUACAUACGUAGUUUGCCAUACACACACGUAAUUCUGCCAUCUGCACCUGCAGACGCACGUCAGCUAAUAGCCUUGUUAAUGAAAGACCAAUUCAUCCCAAGGACAUGCAACCUUGAGAUGAUCAGGACACAUCCUGCAACAUCCUUUGCUAACAAAGACAGUUGUUCUUGUAUUGAGGAACUGAAGGAAGGAACGCUUUCACUCCCUUAUGCAGCUGUUCAGCUUGAGCAGAAAAGGCACAGAGAGGUCUUUGAUAUUAUAACAAGAUUCCAUGAAAAGGCAUAUAAUAAUGUAUUUAUGAUAAUAUAUAAGGGGCAAAAGUGAGAGAUACAUAUUUAAUCAUAUAAAAGAGCUUAUAAUAAUAUAUGAAAGAGCUUAUAUGAGAGAUAUAUAUUUUCAAUCCCCCUUUUGAACUCUUUUAAGAGUUCAAUAAAGAUAUAAGAAAUCAAAACAAUAACACCAAAUUCCAUCAAAAAGAAUCCAAUAAGCAAAGUUUUUAAAAUACCAAUACAAACAACCAAUCAGAUUACAUUUACUCAUCUUUCUAGCAGUAAACUAAUACAAAAAACAUGAUCAUACUUUCAACUGAACAUGUUACAACAUGUAUGGAUCGCAUGCAACUCCAUAUGAGGGCGAAAAACCCUAAUUAUCAUAUGUUUAUAGGGAAAAUUCCCUCAUGUCCCCCCAUUUGUCAUAUCUCAAUUUUGGGGCGAACGCCUGUUGGCAUAGAGUGUGCAUGCCUAGGACAUCAAUGAUCAACAAAAAAAUAAAAACAAAACAAUCAAAAAAUGCAUAGAAAUGAACUAGUGAAAGGGUCGUUACAUUAAUCACUGAACAUUCUCACACUCUAACAACAUCUUCUUCAUCAUGAGAGUCAUCACUUUCAUCAGAGGGUUCCCCUCCCAAAUAGAUUUUAGGAUUGGCUAGUAACAAGGGCAUCUGGAUAAUUGGGUCAGCAGGUGGAGGAGAGAUGGCAAUGGUAAUCGAUCUCUGGACUAGUUGCCUAAGACAGGGGAUACAGCAACAGCCGCAAGUAACAAGCUUAUUCAGGUGUUAAUUUAAGAAAUUGUAUGGGUUAUAGCUGCUGUAAUCAGUACCAGAGAACGCACUAUAUGCUAAAAUUGCUAUUGUUACCAAAUCUUCCAGGUCAGUGAAAUCGCAAAAGUAUCUGUCGUUCCACAACCCCAACCUGCUGUCCCUGUAUGCCAACCGGUUUAGUUUACUUGGAUACCAGACUAUUGGAAAGGAUUCUCGUUGAAUUAUGUUACCCUCAGAAUCUUCUUCCGGCCAGGACAAAUGAGUGAUCAGAAUGUACAUUAAGUUUGUAUAAAUGCAAUGAGCGCAAACAUAUAUCUAAUACUAAACAGGUAAAUGAGUAAUAAUAUAAAAUGAGUAGAGGGUAUAAAAUAUAACCCUUGUAAAAUAAAUGAGGGUGUGAAAUAGAACCCAGAUAAAAUAAAUGGAGGGUGUUAAAUAUAACCCUUGUAGAAUGUUCAUAGGGUGGUUACUUCUUCCCCCUGUUGAGGUCCCUCCACUGGCUCCAGGCAGCUGCAGGGGGUGAUGAUGUCACGAUUCUCGUCCUGCAGGAUGUGGUGGUAGCUUGGCACGCUACUGUAGUCAGCUACUUCUCUUCCUGGUUUUUGGAUCCUUUUUCUGGUUAGGCAGAUGUCAGCUGCUUCUCGUCCUGGUCCUUGGGUACUUUUUCUGGUCAGGCAGAUGUCGGCUGCUUCUCUUCCAGGUUAGGCUCCUCCCGUCCAGCCGGACAGCGUGUGAUGUCCUCUCCGUGAUCCUGUAUGGCCCGGUCCACCUUGGUUCCGUCCACUUCCUUUUGGUGACUUUUAGCAGGACCCAGACGCCUGGCACCGAAGGCGAAGCAUCUUCGUGUGUGUAGUUUUGGUCCAAUGAAGGCUUUCUCGGCUUGUGCAGUCCUUGAUCUCGGCAGAUAGUUGGUAGGAAGAUUCACACUCCGGCCGGACCAGAAGUUCCCCGGACCGAUCGCCUAGGGAUUAGAGGUUAUGCACAAAAAUGUCCUAGCUCUUACUGACCCUAGCCUCUGAUACCUUCAACAUCAGACACAUACAGUUACAAACAGCAAGCGCAAUUAAAGGUAUAGUGACAUCACGACAUGGACACACACAGACACACAAACACAUACACAUGCACAUACACAGAGAGAGAGGGAGAGAGUAAGAAUGUGUGUGGGAGAAAGAAAUGAGUGGGAUCCACUUUGCCACCAGCAUCUCCACCUGUGUCACAGAGAAAAAAUUGCAAAGAAAUUAAAACAUAAAGCAAACAACAAUAAUUCAAUGAGUAUAAAUGAUCAAACUAAAAUAUACAACCAUGCAUGGGUUUUAUAACAGUUCCGGCAACACUGGAGAGGAAGCCUUGUAUAAUGAAUUCUUAAGAUGUCCUUCAUCAAUUAGAGGUUAUAACCAAAUUGUUUCAGGAUCCUGAAUUUGAAUUUGAAUUGGUUAAUUUACUCAGAAUAGUCCAAUGUCUUUGUUGAUGUUUCUCAAGGCUCGGCCAUGCCCAUAUAGAUAAAUAAGCAAACAAACAAGACAAACACAGUCAAACACACGGUCCAUACACGUCUCUGUGCCCUCACACACCAAGCAAAUGUCAGACUGAAGCGAAAGUGUGAAAUACUUAACCUAACGCUAAAUCAGUGGAAAGAAAAAAUAAGACCUAAAGCGUGUAAUCAAAUUAAUCCAACAAAACUUCCCAUAACUGCUGUUCUAAACUCACGUUGCGAUGUGAUCUCUCCAAUUAGAAAUUAGGACAAUCACUUUACUAUCAAUUCAACCAAAAAGUUUCAGGUUGUCCCUUACCUAAACUACUUGUCUUUCUUACCUUCUUUAUUUUAUUUUUUUUAAGAACCUCACUUAGCACAAGAAAUCCUAAGAAUUAAUUCACUACUUAAGGUUAAUUUGUAAAUAACGAAACUGCAGUUACAGGUUUGUUUGUGCAUAGUAUUGGUAAUCAGCAGUUUUUUUUUUAUCUCCACAUCUAGAAGUGUGUUUCUGUGCUACUUCUCCAUCUAUAACACAAGUUAGUAUCAUCCUUAAAGCAUCUGAAAUUAAGCUGCAUUGCUAAAUCAAUAACGUGAUUUGUGCUAAGAAAUACUCCCCUAUCCUCUUCCUUUUUCCAGUGGCACUGAAUGACAGAUUUUAGAUCAAUUUAACGUUUUAUGACUAUUACGUUUCAUUUAAUUAAUUUUGCUUUUUCUCUCUUAUUUUUAUCUAUUUAUUUAUUUAUGUUAUUUAUUUAUUUAUCAUGCCAUCCUGCGAUGAUAAUCCUAAAGACUUGUUAGCCAAUUUGUCGUCAAAAAGGCCAAUUAAAAAUAUUAUGUUAAAGAUUUCACAAGAUAAAAAAUGUGAACAUAAUUUUUAUCGAAUGAGGGGUACCAUUUAUUCAAUAUCUUGUAACAUUAUUUUCUACCUCACUAUUGUCUCGGAUGAGAUGUUCCAUGAAUCAUUUAGUCAGCUGAAUGCCAAAUUAUUCAUUUAAUGUUUAUUUUUAUGCAAUGAAUGGAAUGGGAUGGAACGUUACUAUAAACUGUCCGGAAAUUUGCGCAUGUUUGCUCGAAGGAGAAAACUGUUGAAGCCUAAAGCGUUCUCCUAGACUUAUAAAUAGACACCGUUUCCUUAACUAAUGAAGAUAAGUGAUGACGCCGAUGAAUGACUUUUUGAAAAGAAAAUAAGGCUUUACUGCAUGUCCGCUGCAGCUGAGAAUCCUAAGACAAUAAAGAUUAUAUUGACGUCCAAUGAUGAGUUGGGCUGAAAUCCAGGUUACUAAUCCUAUUAUUUAUUUAUUUAUUGUUAUUAUUAUUAUCUUUUUUUUUUUUUUUUUUUUUUUUUUUAGGCUAACUUUCUCAGUUAACUAUGUUCUACAGUAGUUUAGUAAAUUUUCCACAGUUCUGACAUUUCAUCAAUUCAACUGGUUGUUGCCAAAAAGCCUUGUUCAUUACCUGACUGCAGCAAGCAAUCUUUUACUGGGUGUAACCAUAGGAAACAGUCUCUUUUGAGCCUCUCUUUGUAAGUCCAGGAUGACCACCGUCAUUGAUUGAAGUUCACAUGUUAGCACACAUGCUCCCCCUUUUGUACUUUGUUUCAUCAGCAGCAGGGCAAAUAAGUUUCUGCCUCUUUGUCCAUCUUGUAGUGCUCCCCGUCUUUAUGUUAUGAGUCACAGCUUUUGGUGAGGGCUUCCAGGUUCUCUUUGGUGAGGGCUUCCAGGUUCUCUUUGUAUAGAAGUCAGAGCCAAACAUUCUUUGCAGCUGGUUGUGACAGGCCCACCCAGUAAAGUUCAUGCCUGCCACAAUGCACAGCAAACGUUUUCCUUAAAUAUGUUGAUUGAGUUAAAAUGACAGAACUUUCUCUUUUACAAAUCAAAAUCAACGAUGGUUUCUAAUAUUUAGUCGACUUUAUUGACUCAAAGGUAAAUCUAGACUACUUCCUAUGCACAAUUUUUCUGAAUCGUCAAAUCGGUUCUACACAGGUUUUAAACUUUAGGCACAAUCUAUCCCAAAUGCAAGAUCCCUCCUUUCAUUUUUUAUUUAUCUAUUUUAUUUUGGGAAAAUAACUACCAGUUUUUAACUCAAAACAGCCUAGUACAGUUUCUAGCCAGGUUACAGGAAAUAAUACUUAGUUUAUCUGUUUUUUCAUUAUUCAGCGUCCCAAAAUCCAGCCAUUAACGUUAAUGGUUCUUAAAGUUGAGGCAAGACAAUUAUUGGAUUUUGUUUUAUAGCAAGAUUUAACAAAUAUUUUAUUUCCUUACUGAUUAUUUGUUAAUUUUAUGGUUUUCAUAAAGAUGAUCCUGAGAGGUUCAGAGCUGCUUUUCGCAGCACCCUGUGCUAUUUUUAGACUGCGGAACUCCUGUGUGUAAAAGUGGGUGGAGUCAGGUCCCCAGGCUGAAACUCCAGUCAUUCUCACUAGAUCUGCCCGAGAGGAAGGAUCUCCUGAAUACCCUAACCAGAAGCCUUAAGUCUCUUGAACUAAAUAACCGUCUAGCAAAAACAUGGACCGCACCCUGUUUCUCAAGCAGCUGCUCCCUCUAUUAAAAACUGAGUCAUUCAGAAGAUCCAGCGAAAGCAGCUCAUGCAAGAAGACACGCAUCCACUCAUUCACAUGGCACAGACGACAUUCUUUGUUUGUCACAGUCUUUUUUUUUUUAAAGUAAGUCAGUUCGUCACUUAUUUAUUCUCUCUCUCUAUAUAUAUAAUAUUUUAAGCACAGAAUUUAUUUAACACUGCACUGGUUAUUUUCAGAAUUUAAUGCUUACUAUGCUUUUAAGCAGGCCUUAUGUAACAUUAGAGCAAAUCCAAUUGCAAUUUUUUUGAGAGCGCUCUGAGGAAUAGUUUAUAUAUUUAUUUUCUGCAGAUCUGUUUUGAUUUUACUGUUUAGCAGCUAUAUGACUAUAUUUCUAAAAUAAAGCUGUCAUUUACAUCCUUA